This 4997-nucleotide long non-coding RNA is filed under the name Sus scrofa (pig). RNAcentral describes it as "lncRNA (ENSSSCG00005030106.1)". The record is from RNAcentral. Lineage: Eukaryota; Metazoa; Chordata; Mammalia; Artiodactyla; Suidae.
CACCUGCAGCAUAUGGAAGUUCCCAGGCUAGGAGUCAAAUAGGAGCUGUAGGAGCUGCAGCUGCCAGCCUACACCACAACCAGAGCCACACCAGAUCAAAGCCACAUCUGCAGCCUAUACCACAGCUUGCAGUAACAUCAGAUCCUUAACUUACUGAAUGAGGCCAGGGGUUGAACUCACAUCCUCAAGAAGAUAAUGUUGGGUUCUUAAACCACUGAGCUGCAAUGGGAACUCCGAAUAUCUUUGCUUUAGUUUCAUCCUUCACUGUAUUGUCUGAGUAUAGAUUUAUAAGAAGAUAAUCAUGUCUUCUAAGAAUUUAAAAAGUAUUACUCCUCUAACUUCUUUAUUAUAAUUUUGUUGUUGAGAAGUCAGGUGCCAUUCUGAUUUUUCAUAAUUUAUCAAUGAUUUCCCUUAAUAUCUCUCCCCAUCCCUAGUCUGGAAGCUUUAAAAUUUUUUCUCUUUAUCCUUCUGUUCUCAAUUUUUACUGAUGUUUUGUAAUAUAAGUCUUUUCUCAUUCAUUGUUCUGGACAUGUCUCAUUCACCUUGCUAGGCCAUUUCAAUUUGAAGACUUAUGAAAUACUAUAUUGAUAAGUAUAUUUCUUUGGCAAUUUCUUCAAUUAUCUCUCUUUUCCUAGGUCCAAUAUUUGGAUGUUGGACUUGAUGGAACUCGCCUCAAAUUUUGCUAACAUUUACAUUCUAUUGUCUGUUUUGUUUUUGUCCUCCUUUCAUAGAGAUUUCCUCAACUUUAUCUUUCAACCUUUUCUAUUUUAUAGUUUCAGCCUUUUCUAUUUUCUAUUCCUUUCUACAUUUUGUUCCAGUUUUCUUUUUUCUUCCUUUUUUUCUUUUCAAAUUCUCCCUUUCAAGUCAGACAUCUCUCUAAGUCCCUCAUCCACCCAGGGGCUUUUCAGUUUUCCGGAAGAGGGGCCCGUCUCCUGAAAGGGUGAAGUAUGUUGGUAGUGUUCUGGGAGCAGGGCAGGGAGGGAAGGCUGGCGCAGACUCUCACAUUAAUCCCCUGGUUUUAUUAAUCCCUGCUUUCCUGAUACUGGUACCACCAAGGCUUCAACCUUUUAUGUGGUCUCUGAAGCCAAUCAGCUUGCUUCUCAUGGGUCUUGCUUCUUGAGGGCACUUAAAUGAAACAGCUCCUGCUACACUAAGUCUGUCAUCAGUCCUCUACUUUCCACUUUCCAAAGAUGUAUUCAUCUCUUACUCACUGUGGGAUCUCUCUUUUCUCUUUCUCUUUGCAGUUUAUAACGUUUAAAAUUCUUUUACCAUUCUUUUUGAGGGAUUCAGGGAGGCUGAGAAGAUAAAAAUCAUGUUCUCAAUCUGCCACACUAAACUUGAAGUUCCAAAAAUACAAUUUUAAAGUAGAUUAUCUAGGGAUUAUCUAGUUCAAUUCCCUCAUUUAAUAGCUGAGGAAAGAAACAAAGACAGGUUAAAUGCUCUGCUGUAAAUUCCUUCUCCAAAUUCAGAGCAGAACCAGGGAUGUGAAGUGUCCUAUUAGUCCAGUGUUUCUUUGACUUCCAACAUGUCUUUCUAAGAAAAGCAUUUUGUUGGCCUUCUGGUUGAGAGAAAAGAAAUAUACCAUUGAACCGCCCAUGAAUUAUAUAAUUAAAGAGGAAACUAAUAACCAUGGGCGUAUGUACUGUUGCGUGUUAGUAAAAAUAAGUACCACAUGUUGAGAGAAGGAGAAAUCCUGAGGGCUAGGAUAAUUUCAAAGGGCUCCAUGAAGCAGCCAAGAUGUGCAUUUCAUCUUGUGGCAAGAACUGCAGGUAAUGAGUGAGUAAGGGCAGCGUGCUGGCAGAGGAUCUAUGUUGGGAGCAUUGAGGGAUCAGUGCCUCAUAGGCUUUUACCAAGGCUGCCUUCACGAAGGGUAGAAAUCACUCCUGCCCCAUGGCCCUUUCCUACCCCGUACUCUGACGAGCGUCUGGGACACACAAACCACCACAAUCACUGCUUGUUCUUCUGGACUCUGUCCAUCUGGACAAGUCAAUAUGAUUAUGUCGACGCCACGCUCUGAAGUGUGUACUAUGGAAUCAAUGAAUACUUGUUCAUUUUUUUUAUUAUAGUUACAUUAUCUGAUAGCCAUUUUCAAACUAUACGACCUCAAAUUUAUGACUCAGCUUCAAUAUUUCUGGGUGUUUAAAGACUCAAACAGUAAUUAUAGGACAAAGAUAGGACUAGGUGAGGUAGAAUUUUUAAAAUUCGACUGACUGGCACCAAAACCAUCCACAAUUUUCACACUUUUCUUCCUUUCUAUGAUAUAUGCCAAAAGAAAGUAGAAAGCAGGAAGAAACACUUUUUAAUAAUCAAUAAAAGCUUAAUAUAAUGUAUUUAAUACUUAUCUUCCUUAGGAAAUAGUAAGACUGGUAAAACACAGCAUCACUUAUUUUUGUUGUUGAUAUUUCAAGGCAGCUUUUGUAGCUAAAAUAUCAUGAAACCUUACUGCUCUCUGACCUUGGCAUAUACAAUGACUCUUUCAAUGGAAAAGGGCUAGUUUCUAUUUAACUUUGUUAACCUAACUAUAAAGGUGUAACUGGAUAUUUCAAAAUAAAACAAAUGCUUUCAGUUAAUGAUGCAUAAACAAACAAAAAGGACUUAAUCUCUGGCAAAACAUUUCCACACACUUCCUUUUAAAUUUUUUGCUUAUCUAAUUCCAUUGAAAUUGCAGGAAUAUUUAGAGAUUAAAAAUAUGUGUGCUUGAACUAUUUGUUUAGAACUGCAGUGGGAAUCCCCACUACUCAGAAUACAAUUAAGACUAUACUUUGAUGAAACUAAUGGGGGGAGGUAAAAAGGCAGAUCUUUUAAAUAUACUUAGAUUUAGUACAUAGACAUGAGUAUCCAUAGUUGUGGAUUCACUAAUGGUGAAGAAGCAUUCCCGAAUUUGCUCUUGAAGUAACCAAUUCAAGUCUAUGAAUCCCAUCCAAGCUUUCUCUGAUAGAGAAUUUUGCAGCACUCACUCUGAUUACAAGUAUUUAAAAGAGAACAAUAAAACCUAUUCUUGUACUCUUUACUUCAAAGGAAUUCUUGGAGGACAAAGGAUGACAAGAGCCACGAAGGAGCUCUGCAUAUUUUACUUUAAAAAAUGUACUCCCAUGAGGAUCAAUCAGAAAGAGGAAUGGCUACAAAAGGUCCAAUAUACUCUAGCAUCUAUCUUGCAGUAUCAAAAUCUGGUCUAUGUCCAACUGCCAAGCCACUCCAAAGCACUCCUGAAAGGCUGAAAAGCAAACUGGAAUAUCUUGGAGGUGAUUUUUGAAGUAACAUUAGACUAGCAAAAUCAGAAGCUUGCUUGGCCCAAGAAUCCUCUGACUCAAGAUCUUAUGUCCUUGCUUGAAUCCAGACCUACUUAGCCAGAAACUCUGGGAAUGGGACAAGGAAUAUAUGCUUAUAAAAUUCUUCAGGUUGAGAACCUCUACUCUCCAGGUCGUUAUUGCUCUUACUGAAGCCUAUCUGCUCAGGUCUAGACGAAUCAGGUCAGAGGCAAAAUCGGGAAGCUGUUUUCAUCAGAAAGUCUUGGGGAUUCAGGUCACUUUUCAUUCUUCCUAAAUCUGAGUUUAAUUCCUGCAACCCCAUAACACAAAGUCGUUCAAACUCCAGAAUCACCCAGAACUUAAAAACGCAGAUUCCAGGGUCCAUAUUUAUGGAGUCAGAUUUAGUAAUUUUGGUUAAGGCCCUGGAAUAUGUAUUUUUGAUGCAGAUUGGGUAAAGAUCAAUUUUAAAAACCAUAGCUUUGGAGUUCCCAUUGUGGCUCAGUGGAUUAAGAGCCCAACUAGUAUCCAUGAGGAUGUAGGUUCAAUCCCUGGCCUGGCUCAGUGUGUUAAGGAUCCGGCGUUGCCAUGAGCUGGGGCCUAGGUCACAGAUGUGGCUCAGAUCAAGUGUUGCUGUGGCUGUGGCUAUGGUACAACUAACAAAGGACCUGUUAAUUAGAAGCUAAUUUACAUAUGUCUACUCUGAAUCCAGUAAUUUUUUUCCUGGAAGAUAGUGUGUACAUUAAUGACUUCCAUUUGAUAAAAAUGUGUUCAAAUUUCUAUCCAAAACUGAAACUAUUUUAAGGUGAAGAAAACUGUUUCCUAAAAUAAAUGACUAAAAAUAGAACCAAAGAGAACUCUUAUGCAUAAAGUGCUUAAAUGCUUUGGUGCAGCAUCUGCGCCAUCAAAGAACUGUGUGAACGCCAUCAAAGAACUGCAAGAACAGCCCUAAUUCUUAGAAAAGUGUACAGUGCUAAUUCUCAGCUUUAGGAAUUGAUGAGGACAUUGAGGACAUCAUACAUUUGUGGUCAAGAACAAUGCCUCGAAAAUGUAAUAAUGGCCUCUCUCUUCCUACAAUCUUAAAGUUCCUACAAUCUUAUUUCCAGGCCUGGUUUUCUUGACUACUUCUGUUAAUCCAAUAGUUUAACAGGAGUAACUGGCUUUUUGGUACUUUGUCAAAAUCAUUAUAUGUGGGUUUGAUGUACCACCAGUGUCAUAUAAACAAAAAGGGUCCUUGGCCACAUAAAUAAGCAACAGACCAGGAAUAAAAUGGUUAGUGUAACAAUCUACUACUAUGUUGGUUUUAAGAAUAAUUAACUGGUUGUUGGCCAACUGUGGUUGACUAAUUCAGUUACCUGCCUGAUGAUAAUGAAGUCAAGGCAAUGUAUCCUUACUCCUCCCCUCUCCUUGAUUUUCCUUACCAACUGCCUGCUUUCAAAGCAUAAAUAUAUAUGCACGUAAUAAAUAUAUAUGCACAACCUGUUAAACUUACUAUGUUCCACGGUCCAUGACUACAAGUCAAACUACCACCAAGUACUUCAAAAUAUAAGCCUUGACUUUUAAGAAGGAUUUAAUAAAAGCAUGUGCUAGAAUCAGACACUGAUCAAUAACUAUUUCUAGAAAAAUAAACAGUUGCACACACUUACUGUGCAUCAACAGCUACCAGAUGUAUAUACAAUGGGCAACAUCAACAAUAUCCCAUAAGAGCCCUGGGGGUCCCUUCCAGUUAAGGCCUAUGAUUUUGAUUUUGUA